CUUCAAGAGCAACUUAACAUCUCGCUUCAAGAAAAUGAGCAACUGAGCAAGCUAGACAAACUGAAGGCUUUAGUUCAACUGAAGAAGCAAAAUGGAUUCGCUGACAGUAAACUGAAGACAUGGAUGCAAUCCUGUGCUGAUGAGGUUGCCAUCUACGUACAUUCACUGACCCAGGACAACGAGCCAGAGUAUGACCCAGACGGACUCCCAG
Molecule: long non-coding RNA, 211 nt
Organism: Mauremys reevesii (Reeves's turtle)
Lineage: Eukaryota; Metazoa; Chordata; Testudines; Geoemydidae
Exons: 3
Source: RefSeq, a predicted model, not a curated record